Molecule: non-coding RNA, 73 nt
Organism: Hysterangium stoloniferum
Lineage: Eukaryota; Fungi; Basidiomycota; Agaricomycetes; Hysterangiales; Hysterangiaceae
Source: the annotation of a GenBank genome assembly
GCCUUGCUAGCUCAAUGGUAGAGUGUCAGACUCUUACAGUCCUUCUGACCGGGAUCGACUCCUGUGUGAGGCU